This is a long non-coding RNA of Quercus robur (English oak), 778 nucleotides long. RefSeq lists it as uncharacterized. The record is from RefSeq and is a predicted model, not a curated record. The transcript is spliced from 2 exons. NCBI's taxonomy places the organism in Eukaryota, Viridiplantae, Streptophyta, Magnoliopsida, Fagales, Fagaceae.
ACUCAUACACCCCCUAAACUUUGGACUAGUGGCCAAGACACCCCCUAAACUUUUUUAUUGAUCAAUUUACUCCCCAAACUAUACACUCCUGCCAAAUUAAUACUUCAGUUAGCUUCCCGUUAAAAAACUCACGGAAUAGCAUGUGAGAAUCACGUGAAAUUUAAAAAUUGACUAAUUUACACAAAAGAAAGAAAAGAGAGAGGAGAGACCUAGUUUUGACCGGUGAAGAUGAGAGAGAAAGAGGCAGUAGAACCAGAGCCACCGUAAAGCGGUUCCAAGUUCUUCAUCCGACGGCUGUCUCGCCGUCCGUAGGCCGUAUCUUCAAGCCCUGGUAUGUGCGAGUUUCUGUCGAGGUUGGGGUUUAUUUACUCUAAGAUCCAAAUAAUCACAAAUCCUUUCAAGCAAUGAAUAGGAUGUCCUGUACAAGUAAUGCAUUAGGUCAGGAAGGAUCAUUUGCAAGUGUUGCAUUAUCAUCUCCUCAAGAGAGGAGAUCAAGUAUUGCAAGCUCCCGCCACAAAAAUUGAUGGUACAAGAGAUCCUCAACUCAAAGUAGUGUUGCAAGUGGAGAGAAUGGGUGGUCCACAACAUCAAGCAAUUUUUUUAGUUUAGAAUCAUGUUUUUGAAACUUUGGCUAAGUGCUCUAAUGAUUGUUCAUAUGCCAAUUAGUUUGGCAAUGAUGUACUAGUGAUUUGUGUGAGAUGUAUUCAUGAGCAGAUUAUGAUCCUCAUUUUGUUAUUAAUAAAAAAAAAUUUCUGCACCUAUGUGCAAUUUAUACAAA